RNAcentral lists this ribosomal RNA (253 nucleotides) under uncultured bacterium. RNAcentral describes it as "partial 16S ribosomal RNA". It matches the Rfam family "Bacterial small subunit ribosomal RNA", at positions 524 to 776 of the family's 1533-position model. The record is from RNAcentral.
UACGUAGGGGGCAAGCGUUAAUCGGAAUUACUGGGCGUAAAGCGUGCGCAGGCGGUUUUGUAAGCCAGAUGUGAAAGCCCCGGGCUUAACCUGGGAAUGGCAUUUGGGACUGCAAGGCUUGAGUGUGGCAGAGGAGACUGGAAUUCCUGGUGUAGCAGUGAAAUGCGUAGAUAUCAGGAGGAAUACCGAUGGCGAAGGCAGGUCUCUGGGCUGACACUGACGCUCAUGCACGAAAGCGUGGGGAGCAAACAGG